AGUAGAGGAAAAAAUUUAGAAAUCUUUUGAUAAAUGAGUGUUUAGGAUUAAUGCAUUUUUAAUAUUGAGAGUAUUAUAACAACAAAGAUUGUAUUAUGAAGAAUGGCAAACCCCCUAAACCCUCCAUUCUUUCCACUUCAUCCUUUCUCUCUCUCUCUCUCUUUUUUUUAUAAGUAAUUAUCUUGUUAUUUAAUUUGAGUUUAACUCUUCAUAUUUGUCUCCUAAAUUUGGCCUUCAGUCG
Molecule: long non-coding RNA, 241 nt
Filed under: Trifolium pratense (red clover)
Lineage: Eukaryota; Viridiplantae; Streptophyta; Magnoliopsida; Fabales; Fabaceae
Description: long non-coding RNA (TPRA_LNC000962)
Source: RNAcentral